Long non-coding RNA from Caretta caretta (loggerhead turtle), 1015 nucleotides. RefSeq lists it as uncharacterized. The record is from RefSeq and is a predicted model, not a curated record. NCBI's taxonomy places the organism in Eukaryota, Metazoa, Chordata, Testudines, Cheloniidae.
CGCAGCCCCACUCGAGUCCUUCCCCUGAGGACUGCAGCCGGUGUCGGGCGUGCACUCACUGAGGGGCAGUAAGUGGAGCGACCCGGCCCCAGCCUGCUCCGCUCCGCCGGCUCCCAGCUUCGCCACCGGUAUGCAACAACAAAAAUCUACAUUUAUAAGUUGCGCUUUCACAGUAAAGAGAUUGCACUACAAUACUUGUGUGAGUUUGACACCCCAUAAAUGACUAGAAAUUUGGCAAGACAAUGGAAGAAAUAAUGCCUCAUAAAGAUAUGGAUUGUUUCUGUAUGACCAACGCUUACUGAUGCCAACUCAUCGUAGCUAACACAGAAUGGAUAAAAAACUGUUUGUCUAAAAAAGGAUUUCAGUCAUUUGUCAGUUUCCCUAAAAUCAGUGUAAGCUCUCUUAACCCCAUGCCCUGUUUUUUUUCAUAUUAACCUUUUAAAUGUUUAGGAUCGUUUAAUUUUUUUUAAAAUGUAUGCUAUUAAAAACAGAAUGUUUAGCAAAAGGAUAUGGAGAAGCUGUCACUUAGGUUUUUUUUUAAAAAAAAGCUCGGGAGCAGAGGAUGUAGAGGGGGUGGACAUGUCUCAUGAGGGAACGGUAGUAGUUAACGGCUCCCAGUGUCUGAUGCUACAGCUAUUAUUUCUGUCCUUCAUGCAGUUACAAAGCUAUGGCUUUUUCUUUUGAAAUGUGGUUAUUUUUAAAACCCCUCUCAAAAUUUGUAUAUUUCUUCCCAAUUUACAAACAAUGAGCCGAUUUAGAAUCCUACAUCUUAGCUCUGUAAAUAGCCUUUAGAAAGUUUUUAUUUGGUUGUGGGUUUUUUGCAUGCUGAGCAAUUCAUUUAGGCAAAACUUUAAAAACAAGCUAAUGCUAUUUUUUUUUUUUUAAAAAAGCUUGGGAUAGUAUCUCUUUGAAAACAUUGUACUGUAAUUUUUAUUUCACUAGACCUCUUCCUCUUUGGUUAAGAUAAACCUGAAAAUGUUUAUGCACGUGUGUAAAGUUAUUCACAUGCAUGUCC